CCUUCGGGAGGCAGCAGUGGGGAAUAUUGGGCAAUGGGCGCAAGCCUGACCCAGCAACGCCGCGUGAAGGAAGACGGCUUUCGGGUUGUAAACUUCUUUUGACAGGGAAGAGUAGAAGACGGUACCUGAUGAGUAAGCCACGGCUAACUACGUGCCAGCAGCCGCAGUAAUACGUAGGUGGCAAGCGGUAUCCGGAUUUACUGGGUGUAAAGGGCGUGUAGGCGGGAGUGCAAGUCAGAUGUGAAAACUAUGGGCUCAACCCAUAGCCUGCAUUUGAAACUGUACUUCUUGAGUGCUGGAGAGGCAAUCGGAAUGCGUGGUGUAGCGGUGAAAUGCGUAGAUAUACGGAGGAACACCAGUGGCGAAGGCAGAUUGCUGGACAGUAACUGACGCUGAGGCGCGAAAGCGUGGGGAGCAAACAGGAUUAGAUACCCGUGUAGUC
Molecule: ribosomal RNA, 442 nt
Filed under: uncultured bacterium
Lineage: Bacteria
Description: partial 16S ribosomal RNA
Rfam family: Bacterial small subunit ribosomal RNA
Source: RNAcentral